UUGACAGCCCUGGAGCCUGAAGUCUUUUAUUUAGCCAUUGACAAAGUACAGCAUAGGGAGCAGAAGUGCAGCCUCCCCAAUUUGCUCCACCAGUAUGUAUCACACCUGUCUUAAAGGAACCAUCUGUAGGCGUGAGAGACUAGCUCAGUCUCUGUGCCCAUUUAUUGAUUAUUAAAU
Unclassified non-coding RNA from Chelonoidis abingdonii (Abingdon island giant tortoise), 177 nucleotides. Lineage: Eukaryota; Metazoa; Chordata; Testudines; Testudinidae. The record is from Ensembl.